UCCAGCGUAGCUCAAUGGUAGAGCCCCCGGCUGUUAACCGGGUUGUUGUAGGUUCGAGCCCUACCGCUGGAGCCA
RNAcentral lists this transfer RNA (75 nucleotides) under bacterium. RNAcentral describes it as "tRNA-Asn". It matches the Rfam family "tRNA". Rfam says of the family: Transfer RNA (tRNA) molecules are approximately 80 nucleotides in length. Their secondary structure includes four short double-helical elements and three loops (D, anti-codon, and T loops). The record is from RNAcentral. RNAcentral also lists the same sequence under 1 other name.